GGCUAGAAACCUGACUUCAUUUCAAGUUUUACUCUUGUUGCACCAAAACCUUGGGUGAGUUAGUUUCUCAGCCUCAGUCCCCUCAUCAGGAAAAUGCUGUGUUAGCACUUUCUGUGAAGAAUGAUCAAAGGAGUGGAGAUUAUGGAGAUUAUAAACACACUUGACACAGUAAGUGUUUAAGAACUGGUAGCUGAUUUUUACAAAGUUAUGGGUCAUAGAAGGCAGUUUAGAGAAAAGGGCAGGCUUUGGAGUAGCUCAGUUGUAUUAUAACCUUGGCUUCUUUACUCACCUAGGACAUACAUUCUCUCUUUAGCUGUAGCUUCCUCCCUUCUGAGAUGGAAAUUAUAAGCCAUCUCACAGUGUUGUGAGGAUUGGAGCUCAAGUGUGUAAAAUGCCUCCUCUGUGGGCUCUCCUUGGAGAGUUCUUGUAUCCUAUUGAUUGUCAUCAAAGGAAAAAAGUGGCAGGAUGAUGGCAUAAGUGGGAAGAACCUUGAGUUUAAUAGUCUGAAAAAGUGGUUACAGGUUCUUGCUAUGCUUUUCCUCUCUGUGGUUUUCUGAACCCAUCGCCUAACCUGAAGCCUUAAACUUCAUCUGCAAAAAUGUUUUGUGGCAGGUGACUCUGAAGCAGAACUCUUGAGAUGGAAGGAUUGUCAUCUGAGGAAAAAAAAUCAAGAUUAAGAGAGGAGGAACUAGAAUGAGAUUCACAUACCGUCUCUCCUCCAAGGGAAGGAGAGAGUGGUGAUGCCUGCCCACUCCUUCCUGGGCAGAACAUUUGUAGCAUGGAACAUUGGAGAAUUUGCAGUCUGCUGACUUUCUGAUUUAGGAGGUUGAUGGGGAGGCCUUAUAAUUUGCAUUUCUAACAAGUUCUGAGGUGAUGCUUCAAGUAUGUCCAGGCAGAAGGGCUGCCUCACAGAGAAUUCUGCCAUACCACAUGGGAAUUGAAGUCACAGACAUCUCUAACCCUCAAGCCUGAAACCAAAAGACUGAAAACCAACACUACAGUGGACAAAGAACAUCUCUGAACUUGUGUGGGGACCAGUGACACAAGGACCUAAGGUCUCUCUCUUCUCAUCUUGGCACUUCAGAAGUCUCCCCAAUCUUGACAAAGCCCUGGAGAAAGGGCCGGGCCUCCCGUUGAUAAGAAUAUCACUGCAGAUAAAUGGAGGUUUCAAAUUGAAAGAAAGGAGGAGGGCCUCCUGUUGAUAAGAUUAUUGUCACUGCAGGUAAAUGGAGGCUUCAAAUAGAAAUACAUUUCAGUUACAGAAAAAAAAAUUAUCUUUGUUACACAUUUGAGUUUGCAGGCCUAAGGUUACUCCCGCUACACUAUCAUCUGUAACCAUAACGCACUCAACAUUUUAAGCUAACUAUAAGGAUUGUUGCUUCACUCAAAGAUCCUGAGGUUUUAUUCACUAACAUUUUUAUUUGGUGACUAUAGUUGACAAGAACAAAGCUGUGGGGAACCAACAAACACUGCAAUGCCUGGCAUUGUCACCUCACUAGAUUGUGAGUUCCUCUGGGACAGGGUCCGUACAUUUUCUUAGAAUCCCUCACUUAGCCAUUAGCCUGCACAGUGCUUGUACUUAGUAAGUGCUCAGUAAAUGUUUGUGGAAUGAAUGCAUGAUGAACAAAAUAUAUACUGAGG
Molecule: long non-coding RNA, 1641 nt
Filed under: Homo sapiens (human)
Lineage: Eukaryota; Metazoa; Chordata; Mammalia; Primates; Hominidae
Description: non-protein coding lnc-TGFBRAP1-1:5
Source: RNAcentral